RNAcentral lists this unclassified non-coding RNA (781 nucleotides) under Daphnia pulicaria. RNAcentral describes it as "orcokinin peptides type A-like, transcript variant X1". Lineage: Eukaryota; Metazoa; Arthropoda; Branchiopoda; Diplostraca; Daphniidae. The record is from RNAcentral.
GUAGGGCACAGAAGCGAGCAAGUAAAGAGACGCAAAAGAGAAUCUCCCCUCCUCUGUUGUACUCCUCCCGAUAUUGUAGAGCAGUCAACAAAAUUAUUCAUUUGUAAAGUUUGCUUGCUUCUGCUAAGCAUAGCAUAAAUUUCGAGCAGUUUUUUCUCUUCUUACCUUUUUCGAAAUGAAUUGUCUCAAAUUUCGGCUUGUCGCUGUCGCGAUUCUCAUCUUCAAUGUGGUCACCGCUCUGAAUUACCAGAGUGAGGAGGCGGUGGGAGUGGAGCAUGAACGAGAUCGGGAUAGCCUUGGAGGUGGCCACAUUCUUCGCGGUCUGGAUUCAAUAGGAGAGAGCAAUCUACUGCGGGCAAUUUACCGAGAAAAACCCCGCGACUUUUUGCGGAUAAAUCGAGGACUGGACUCGCUUAGUGGUGCUUCUUUCGGUAUCGAAAAGCGCUUAGACUCUUUGACUGGUCUAGGAUUUGGCAGUCAGAAGAGAAACCUGGAUGAAAUUGAUAGGUCGAAUUUUGGAACAUUCGCCAAGAGGAACCUCGACGAAAUCGAUCGCAGUGAUUUUGGUCGCUUUGUCAAGAAGAGAGAAACCAUGGAAGCGGAAAGUUCUCAACAGCAGCACUAAACAGAAUAAUUCAUAAUUUGGGUGAAGUCCAAUAUGGAUAGAUAAAUAGAUCACUUAGGACUACACGCGGCAUUACACAGUUUUUCACCACGGCUCUUUUCUCAUCAUGUGUAUCUAUGGUGACUCCUUUCAAUAAACAAACAUAUUUCAAUCAAA